AGCCUGGUCCUUAGAACAGAUGAAGA
RNAcentral lists this non-coding RNA (26 nucleotides) under Cricetulus griseus (Chinese hamster). The record is from RNAcentral. Lineage: Eukaryota; Metazoa; Chordata; Mammalia; Rodentia; Cricetidae.